CCUACGUGGGACAGCAGUGAGGAAUAUUGGUCACUGGGCGCGAGCCUGAACCAGCAAAGUCGCGUGAGGGAAGACGGUCCUAUGGAUUGUAAACCUCUUUUGUCGGGGAGCCAAAGACGCCACGCGUGGCGUUACGAGAGUACCCGAAGAAAAAGCAUCGGCUAACUCCGUGCCAGCAGCCGCGGUAAUACGGAGGAUGCGCGCGUUAUCCGGAUUUAUUGGGUUUAAAGGGUGCGCAGGCGGAAUGUCAAGUCAGCGGUAAAAUUGAGGGGCGCACCCUCUUCGUGCCGUUGAAACUGGUUUGCUGGAGUGAGUGAGAGGUAAGCGGAAUGCGUGGUGUAGCGGUGAAAUGCAUAGAUAUCACGAAGAACUCCGAUUGCGAAGGCAGCAUACCGGCGCGCAACUGACGCUCAUGCACGAAAGUGUGGGUAGCGAACAGGAUUAGAUACCCUGGUAGUC
RNAcentral lists this ribosomal RNA (459 nucleotides) under uncultured bacterium. RNAcentral describes it as "partial 16S ribosomal RNA". It matches the Rfam family "Bacterial small subunit ribosomal RNA", at positions 338 to 795 of the family's 1533-position model. The record is from RNAcentral.